CCGGCUCCUCCCCCCGCCGCCCUGCGCGCAUAAAGCCCGGCGCGCGCCCGGGCGCCCGCGGAGGCGGCGGCGCUGGGAUCCCCCUCCCGCGGGGCUCCUGGGCGUCCUGGGGGCGAGCGGGCGGGCGGGCGAGCGAGCGAGCGAGCUCCCCCUGAUUCCCGGUGCGGGCCCGGGCCUGGGGCGCGGCCGCACCCCUCACCCACAGCGGCGCGGGGGCCCGGCCGCGGGAACGCCCUCCCGGGAUGAAGCGCUUCCCGAGUCCUAACUCCCUCCAGUCUGCUUUGGAAGAACCUGAACUGCCUGCCUACCCACCGAGUUUGGAGUUAACUUCCCUUCAGUAACUCAUUCGCCUCUAUGAAGCCGAACUCCUUCCCUUCCUC
Long non-coding RNA from Peromyscus californicus insignis, 380 nucleotides. RefSeq lists it as uncharacterized. NCBI's taxonomy places the organism in Eukaryota, Metazoa, Chordata, Mammalia, Rodentia, Cricetidae. The transcript has 2 exons. The record is from RefSeq and is a predicted model, not a curated record.